Molecule: ribosomal RNA, 613 nt
Filed under: uncultured bacterium
Lineage: Bacteria
Description: bacterial SSU rRNA
Rfam family: Bacterial small subunit ribosomal RNA
Source: RNAcentral
AGCGAACGCUGGCGGCGUGCUUAACACAUGCAAGUCGAACGCGCAGCAUUCUGUAGCAAUACAGGGUGUGGGCGCGUGGCGAACGGGUGCGUAACACGUGGAUAACCUUCCUUCAGGUGGGGAAUAACCCAGUGAAAACUGGGCUAAUACCGCAUAACAUGACGAUGGCACAUGCUGUUGUCUUCAAAGGCGCAAGUCGCCAGAAGAGGGAUCCGCGGCCGAUUAGCUUGUUGGCGAGGUAAUGGCUCACCAAGGCAUUGAUCGGUAGCCGGACUGAGAGGUUGGCCGGCCACACUGGAACUGAGACACGGUCCAGACUCCUACGGGAGGCAGCAGUGGGGAAUCUUGCACAAUGGACGAAAGUCUGAUGCAGCAACGCCGCGUGGGGGAUGAAGCUUCUCGGAGUGUAAACCCCUUUCGACCCGGAAGAAUGCCCGCAAGGGUUUGACGGUACGGGUAUAAGAAGCCCCGGCUAACUACGUGCCAGCAGCCGCGGUAAUACGUAGGGGGCCAGCGUUGCUCGGAAUUACUGGGCGUAAAGGGUCUGUAGGCGGUGCGGCAAGUCGAUAGUGAAAUCCCUAGGCUUAACCUAGGGGCUGCUAGCGAAACUGCC